RNAcentral lists this ribosomal RNA (292 nucleotides) under uncultured bacterium. RNAcentral's name for it is "partial 16S ribosomal RNA". It matches the Rfam family "Bacterial small subunit ribosomal RNA", at positions 505 to 796 of the family's 1533-position model. The record is from RNAcentral.
GUGCCAGCAGCCGCGGUAAUACGAAGGGGGCUAGCGUUACUCGGAAUUACUGGGCGUAAAGGGCGCGUAGGCGGCGAGAUAAGUCAGGCGUGAAAUUCCCGGGCUCAACCUGGGGACUGCGCUUGAGACUGUUUUGCUAGAGGAUGGAAGAGGGUCGUGGAAUUCCCAGUGUAGAGGUGAAAUUCGUAGAUAUUGGGAAGAACACCGGUGGCGAAGGCGGCGACCUGGUCCAUUACUGACGCUGAGGCGCGACAGCGUGGGGAGCAAACAGGAUUAGAUACCCGAGUAGUCC